This is a long non-coding RNA of Cyprinus carpio (common carp), 1518 nucleotides long. NCBI's taxonomy places the organism in Eukaryota, Metazoa, Chordata, Actinopteri, Cypriniformes, Cyprinidae. The record is from Ensembl.
AAAGGAGAGGCAGGAGGCAAAAUGAUGGUGAUGAUGGCCAUCUUCUUCAGAGUCUAGUUUUUGUUUGACAGCAGAACAAGGGUAAGAAAAGGGCUAUUUUGUCCGGGUAAGUGCACAUCAUUUGAUGUUGUAUGACUGCAGUACACAGCUUUGUUACUUUCAUCUCUAGAACUCUUGAUUUUCAGUUUAACCAUCACCUUACCAGCAGAACUCUGGAUUCUGCUGUCUUCCAUUAGUUAUGUAAGUAAUUAAAGUGUAUAAUUUCUGCAGACUCCAGACUUCAGUGUCACAUGAUCCUCCAGAAAUCAUUUUAAUAUGCUGAUUUGCUGCUCAAGAAACAUUUCUGAUUAUAAUCAGUGUUGAAAACACUGAAAACACAAUACUUCAUAUAACAUACACACACACACACACACACACACACUAACCUACAUUACAUGGGAAUGAACCCAUCAAUAGCUCUCCAGGUACUAACAUGACAACAUGUCUGCAGGCUAAGCAAAUGCUAAAAACUGUUCUGGUUACAGCAAAUUAAUUUACAUAUUAAAAGAGCUUGAUACUACAGCAAGUGUUCACCAUUAAUUAUGCCCAACCUGAUUAAAUAUUUCAAAACAAAGACCUGCCCUGUCCUGUAGCAGCUGCAUUAGUGCUUACAGUAUAUUGUGAGGAAUGCCGCUUGAACCAGAGCAAGCGCCUCCUAUCACCUGAUUCUAAUACUGUGCAGUGUAGUUCAAUGCCCUUGGCUAAAUGCAGAGUGUAAAGAGGAACCAAUGCUGAGUGGCUGGGCUGAUAAGAGCCAUCUCACUCGCUCGCUCUUAGUCAGGGAUUCACAGUCUCUCCCUCGGCCAAGAGCUUUCCAUUUCCGGACUAAAAUGAACCACAUCAUUAAUGAAGGUUAGUGCCAAGGGCAUGCUUUGUGUUGAUUAUUUUAAAACCCUGUCUUUGACCGCAGACUCGUCCCGACUGUAACGCACCACACUAUUAUCCCAGUACGGCUGAGUUUGUUGUGCAAUGUUUAAAAUUGCCUGAUGGAUGUGUGGAAAAGCGUGUUUGCUUUGUGGAGUUAACUGAGCGCAGCAGAAACUCUCUGACUCGGCUGACCCUACCGGAGGCUGUUUCUCAGCCAGCGCUGGUUGAGACUGAGAGCCCCUCUAGGACUCCAUCAUCCAAAAGCACUACCAUUCAUGAAUUUACACAGGUGCUGGCAGCGACUGUGUGCAGUGUCUGCACAUGCUGCUUAGUAGUAGGGGUGGGCGAUAUACAAGUUGAGUAAACCAAUGGAAAUAUAGCAACAGGAAGAAUUUUUGAAGUAUCUUGUUAAAAAGUACAUUUUGUUGUUGCGCACCAUGCCAUAGAGAAUAAUGAUUCUAAUCAUUUUACAUUCAGGUUUAAUGCACACUGUUAGCAAUUGAUGUCAUUUUUACAAGAAAUUUUACAACAACGCAUAGUAUUCAUGUUUUUUUUUUUUUGUAAAUGCAAAUGCAUGAUGGGAAAUUGAUGGACAGUACUGCAAUAUUAUUG